UUGAAGCAAGCCCAGAUUACCUAACUUGGAGAGCCCUAGGAGAGCUUGCUUGAGCAAGUCCUAACCUCCUGAGACGGAGGUACUCUUUGUCCUCUACCACAUGGACAAACAUCUUCUGCUGUUUCCAGAAGGCAGCCCCACAGUAUUGGAGCUAUUAACUGAUCCAGUGAUGCAGUGAUUCCCACCAGAUCCUCAAGUUUGAGCCAUAUGACCUUGAAGUCAAGAAUCCCAGCAAAGUGGACAGCCAGGAGUGUUAAAUCUAACAGGGAUCCCUGGUGGAGUGAAAAUACCUGGGACUUGAGUUGGAGGUGGGUUUUGGUGCUGGAACAAAGGUUGUCCUCUAAAAACUAAAUUAAGGAAUGGAACAUAAUUCUCUCAUCCUCCCCAGAGACUGAUGUAAAAUAAAGGAGGGGCAUUAUGUCUCCUACAUAUUGAGAAA
Long non-coding RNA from Antechinus flavipes (yellow-footed antechinus), 439 nucleotides. RefSeq lists it as uncharacterized. The record is from RefSeq and is a predicted model, not a curated record. The transcript has 3 exons. Lineage: Eukaryota; Metazoa; Chordata; Mammalia; Dasyuromorphia; Dasyuridae.